RNAcentral lists this long non-coding RNA (2020 nucleotides) under Theobroma cacao (cacao). RNAcentral's name for it is "long non-coding RNA (TCAC_LNC000518)". The record is from RNAcentral. Lineage: Eukaryota; Viridiplantae; Streptophyta; Magnoliopsida; Malvales; Malvaceae.
GCCAAAGCAUGAAGUGAAGAGGAAAGGAAAGAACACAAACCCUAGGUGGGAAAACUGAAGAAAAAGUGUGGGAUUUCAAGGGAUUAAGCUGAUAAAGGUAAAAAUUUUGUGAUUUUAUCUUGUGAUUUACACUAACCAUGCUUUCUUUUUCAUUUUUCAUGCUUAGAACUCAAGUUUGCAUAAUGAACCCAUGCUGGCCAAAUUUGAGAUGAGAAGUUUUUAGCAUUGAUUUUGCUAGAUUUCAAGCUAAUUAAGUGUUUUUGGCUGUUUGGUAAUGGAAAGUAUAAAAAUCUAGCAAUGAAUCACUUUGUUCUUCACAAACCCACAAGAGGCCGAAUUUUCUAGGGAGGAUAUUGAGGCUGAAAUUAAUGAUAUUUCAUGAUAAAUUGGGGGUAUUUAAUGAUUGGUGAGGCUAGAAAUUUAAUGAAAAAUUUUAGCAUGAAAAUCUAAAUUUUUACCUAAUGUAUAGACAUGUGCGAUUUAUGGUUCGGACCGAUAAAUUGAAUCAUAUUCACAGUCAUUGAGGUAUUUUAAGUAUAAUUGGAGUGUAAAAAGUGAAAGAAAUCAAUUUGGAGUUAAAUUGAAGGUUUUAGCCAAUUACACCGAAAAUAGUACGAAUUAGGUCGAAUACCGUAUUUAAACGGCUAUUCAGACAUUUUGCAUCACAUUUCAUGCAUUCAUAUAGAUUUAUAGAGCCUGAAAUAGUUUACGAUAAAUUGACACAAUUUAUUAAAAUUCGUGUCACGGAUGAUGUAUAGGUGGUAAGCCCUCUAACAAGGGUAAAGAGAUUGUGCCCCGAAGACUGGGAAUAGGAGUAUAUCGAACUCCUAGUACAGUGAGUAACCUUACUAUCGUCUUAAUUAUCUAAAGUGAUUUUUAUCCAAUUUUGUGAUUUUAUGAAAAAUGAGUUAAAUGGUAAAUCCUUAUGUUUUGUAAUUAAAAUGUGAUUUAAUAAAAUGAUUUUGUAAAUUGUCUUGAAAUGAAAUGAUGGUUUGGAAAAUAGAGUAAUUGAAGACUGUUUUCAUAUGUUGUAAAUUCAUGGUUUAAAUUGAAUGACUUAUGACAAUAUUGGCAUGAAUGGCUAAAUUGGUAUUUGUGUUGAAAUGUAUAAAUUAUUGUUUGCCUUGAGAGGCUGUAAAAUAAAAUAAUUGUCAUGUUAUUGCAAAAUUUUAUUAUAUGGUGGGUUUAGCUAGCUGCAGUGGGCUGGUUCUAUGGACUAGCCUAUUAGAGGGGCACGAAACCUGGUCAUAUUCAUACCUCAAUAUGAGAGGCGCGGAUGGAUAACUCCUGAGGUUAACACUUUAAAGUUCGCUUCACGCCAAACCACCACGUGAGGGUGAACUCGACCAACGCCAAGGAACGGCUAUGUUUUCAAAAUAGAAACAUGAUUUUAUGCGUACAUAACUUUUUAACAGCCUUGGCGGACUCGAUUGGGAUAGCCCUCGGCUAAGGUAUCCCUGAUAACUAAGUAUGAGAAAGAUUUUUGGCACAAGCCAAGCUUUUCAGGAAAUCAUAAGCCUAGUUGUUUAUUUGGUUGAAAUGAGUUGAAAGGUAAUGAAAUUAUAGUAUGAUGACUUAUUUUAAUUGUCUCCAUUUACUCAACUUUAGAUGGUUUAGAUGGUAUCUGUUUACUCACUGGAAUUUUAUAAUCUCACCACCCUCCUUUUCAACCAUUUCAGGCCUGAGGUAGCCUGUGGAUAGUAGAUAUCGUCAAGGAUUAUAGUCGGCUUUACUACUCCAAAAACUGUAGGUUUACUGUCUUUGUGCACUUUUGUUGCUUGUGGGCCCACGAGUCACUAUAAAGUAAAUUUUAUAUCCCGGUUAUCUGUAUUAUAGUAUGAAUGAAUUUAUUUAGCUUUUACAUUACAAAAAUUAUUUACCAAUGACUCUAUAAAUAUUGUUUUACAAGAAGUUAGAAUUUUUUAUUGAAUAUUUUUAUUUUAUUCAAAUAGUUGCAAUAUCAUUUUUAAUAAAUGUUUUAGACACCCAAAUUUAUUCUAAAUCAUGAAAUAUGUGUUUU